CUGCUUAAAACUAAGAACGAAAAAUAUUUGCAUAGCAAUACUAGGAACCACCUCCUUAGCCGGUCCAAUCUCCCUUGGACUGGCUUUUUC
Molecule: small RNA, 90 nt
Organism: Amphilophus citrinellus (Midas cichlid)
Lineage: Eukaryota; Metazoa; Chordata; Actinopteri; Cichliformes; Cichlidae
Rfam family: CyaR/Rye RNA
About the family: This sRNA was originally identified in a large scale screen of E. coli. It was shown to bind Hfq and called RyeE.
Source: Ensembl